Molecule: ribosomal RNA, 102 nt
Filed under: Prolemur simus (greater bamboo lemur)
Lineage: Eukaryota; Metazoa; Chordata; Mammalia; Primates; Lemuridae
Source: RNAcentral
GUCUAUGGCCAUACCAUCCUGAGUGCUUCCGAUCUCGCCUGAUCUUGGAUGCUAAGCAGGGUCAGGCCUGGUUAGUACUUGCAUGGGAGGAUGACAUACAAU